GGAAUUUAAGGAGGGGAGGAGGGAAGGGGUGAGAGUCUUUUAUAAGCCCAAAACUGCAUGCUGAUUUUUGUUGGGAAGGAAAGGAUUUCCCUUGCCCACUACCCAGCUUGGAAUCAGGCUCAGCCUGACUCAGAGAACUUCCAGGCACAAUCAGGCAAAACCUAGACCACCUCAGAAAAUCCAGGGGGGACCUGGGAAAAGCAUUUUCUCCUACCACAUUCGCCAGGCUCCUUCCACUAGGUCUCAGGGAAGAUGGAAAAGCAGAGCUGCUGGCCCAAAAACGGGAAGCAAUGAGGCAAGGUGUCAGCAGCCGUCAGGACCGACACAAAGGAUGGAACUGAAGACGAAAGGACCAAACCACUGUACUACACAGUAUAGUUCAGGUCGAAGAUCAACCAGUCUUGUUAAUCUGCUACAAGAGAAGAUCAAAUACAUUUUCCAAAUUGUAUUCCUCAGGAAACCAUGUAGUUUGUUCCUCGAUCUCCAGUACUUUCAAGGGUGAGAGAGCUAAAUUGCGUUUCCACAAAUCCUCAACUGUUAUAUGCUUGUCUUCUCGGUGCAGAUGGCUGUGUUUAUUAGUGGCAUCUUUAUAUUUCAUAUCUUCUCUGAGAAACUAUAGAAAAGAAAACAUUAGGUUACAAAAACUGGCUCCUAAUAAAGUAGAAAAAAAAAAUCUA
Molecule: long non-coding RNA, 677 nt
Organism: Ornithorhynchus anatinus (platypus)
Lineage: Eukaryota; Metazoa; Chordata; Mammalia; Monotremata; Ornithorhynchidae
Exons: 5
Source: RefSeq, a predicted model, not a curated record